Molecule: ribosomal RNA, 162 nt
Filed under: uncultured bacterium
Lineage: Bacteria
Description: partial 16S ribosomal RNA
Source: RNAcentral
GCACAGAGUUAGCCGGUGCUUAUUCUGUCGGUAACGUCAAAACAGAAUACGUAUUAGGUAACUGCCCUUCCUCCCAACUUAAAGUGCUUUACAAUCCGAAGACCUUCUUCACACACGCGGCAUGGCUGGAUCAGGCUUUCGCCCAUUGUCCAAUAUUCCCUA